This 1817-nucleotide long non-coding RNA is filed under the name Olea europaea subsp. europaea. Lineage: Eukaryota; Viridiplantae; Streptophyta; Magnoliopsida; Lamiales; Oleaceae. The record is from RNAcentral.
CUUCUUAAACAAAUUCCCCAAAAUUUUAUUUUUCACCUCACCUAACCGAGUUAAUUGUUUGAAUACUCACUGAACUUUAAAGGGCGUCACGUUUCACUCACUGAACUUUACUUUGCACUCAAUUACUCAUUGAAUUUUGGAGUUAAUUAUUUGAAUACUCACUGAACUUUAAAGAGCGUUACGUUUCACUCACUGAAGUUUACUUUAACCCAAUUACUCACUGAACUUUGUAAACUUGCAUUCCAUCACUCAUCGGGUUAAAGAGUUAAUUGUUUGAAUACUUAUCGAACUUUACAAGACGUCACAUUUCACCCACUCAAUUUUACUUUACACCCAAUUACUCACUGAACUUUGUAAAUUUGCACUUCAUCACUCACCAGGAACCAUUUGUUCUGUUUGCUUAUGUGGAUGACGACUUUAACACGUGGCAGUUAAAUUAGACAAACAUAACAAUGAAUUGCCAAAUCAUAUAUCCAAAAGGACCCAAAUAUGCCUCACCGUUUUCACUCAAAAAUGACAUGCCCAGUAAAGGCGAAAAAGAAGAAACAACAAUCGCGAUACACUAAAAUUCACCUUGGAAGCGGCCUAUUUUAAGAGAUUAGGGUUCCAAUCGCGAUUUAUGUGUGAAAACGGUGAGGCAUAAUUGGGUCCUUUUGGAUAUAUGAUUUGGCAAUUCAUUGUUAUGUUUGUCAAAUUUAACUGCCACGUGUUAAAGCCGUCAUCCACAUAGGCAAACAGAACAAACGGUUCCUGGUGAGUGAUGAAGUGCAAAUUUACAAAGUUCAGUGAGUAAUUGGGUGCAAAGUAAAGUUGAGUUGGUGAAAUGUGACGUCUUGUAAAGUUCGGUAAGUAUUCAAACAAUUAACUAUUUAACCUGAUGAGUGAUGGAGUGCAAGUUUACAAAGUUCAGUGAGUAAUUGGGUGCAAAGUAAAGUUCAGUGAGUGAAACGUGACGCCCUUCCAAAGUUCAGUGAGUAAUUGGGUGCAAAGUAAAAUUCAGUGAGUGAAACGUGGCGCCCUUUAAAGUUCAGUGAGUAUUCAAACAAUUAACUCCACCUCACCCCUGCCCCACCCCAACCAACCUAAUUCAUCUUCUUCCCCAAAAAAUACUCAACAAUAGCCAUGCCUCGCCAUUGCAAAUACUCGUGCCUCUCAACAGCAUCCAACACAAUCUUGAACCUAAUCCCUCAAUUCAACAAUUUUACUCUGUUCAUAUGCAGUAAACCACCUAAGCUCCCAGAAAAUUUUACUCCAAUUCAAAAAUUUUACUCCACUUCAACAAUUUACUCCAAUUCAACAAAUUUUUUAGCGAACAUUGGAACUACCAGAAAAUGAAUUUCGAGAAAAAUCAAGGUAAUUAAGCACCAGCAUGCUGCCAAUUCCAUCCAGAAUUUCCCCGUAACAUUUGGAUGGUACCUAUCAAUUUUGAAAAUCAUUCAAGCUCAACUAUGAUACCUCGCCAGUGUAAAAGGCUCCCUGUCCGAUGCCAGAUCUUGAAAACUGCACGAGUGAUUUUGUUUGGCAAGAGAAUUAUCAACGUGAAAAAUGAGAAUUGGAAACAGUUUUGGAUGGAUUUUGGAAACAGAUUUUUAUUGGAGUAAGGAAAGACUGGGGGUGAAAGUUUUGGAUGGAAAAAAAGGAAAUGGAAGGACGGCGGCAACAGAGUGGAACAAGGUUGGGCCGAUGGCCUUGAUGAUUUUGGUGGGUAAGGAGGAGUUGUUGGUGCCGUGAUUAAGGGUUGUGCUUUCCCGCGGCAGUGAUGCUGGUGCAGGGGAUGGAGGUGGGGGAAAUAGAGAUGGUGUAGGGGUUUGAAGGAG